GUUGUAAGGUCCCCACAUCCCUACCAGCUUCCACAGGCCUUGGCCCCCCAUGUGGACUUUGGUAACACCUAUGGGGUGAAUGGGGGUUGGGGCACACAGAUCCAGGGGCUGAGGAAGUUUAGAUGCCAUUGGGGACUGGGGGUGGGGUGAGUUGUAAGGUGGGCAUUACAGUCUAUAAGAUCUCCUCAAGCCUGACUUCUCCCUACAGUGGGGGGACUGCACCGUUUUCCCCCAACAUCAUCCCUGAGGCAACGUCCUGAGCCGCAGGUGACAGGGACUGUAGGCCUGCAUCUGGGGGUAACCCCCUCUGUGAUCCGUAAGCGAUACAACUUGACCUCACAAGACGUGGGCUCUGGCACCAGCAAUAACAGCCAAGCCUGUGCCCAGUUCCUGGAGCAGUAUUUCCAUGACUCAGACCUGGCUCAGUUCAUGCGCCUCUUCGGUGGCAACUUUGCACAUCAGGCAUCAGUAGCCCGUGUGGUUGGACAACAGGGCCGGGGCCGGGCCGGGAUUGAGGCCAGUCUAGAUGUGCAGUACCUGAUGAGUGCUGGUG
RNAcentral lists this small RNA (553 nucleotides) under Pan troglodytes (chimpanzee). Its description in RNAcentral is "processed transcript". Lineage: Eukaryota; Metazoa; Chordata; Mammalia; Primates; Hominidae. The record is from RNAcentral.